Oncorhynchus tshawytscha (Chinook salmon) is the source of this 569-nucleotide long non-coding RNA. NCBI's taxonomy places the organism in Eukaryota, Metazoa, Chordata, Actinopteri, Salmoniformes, Salmonidae. The record is from Ensembl.
CCCAUCACAUUCAGAGGCAGAACUUGGAGACAGGAAGGACAUCACCCUCUUCUGGUCUUCAACCCACAACCCACUGGGGCAAGUUCAGAAGACUAGGGUGGAUACAAGAGGGCCUGGGGUAGAUCACAGGGACAGGGGCCAAACAUGAGGCAGGAGGUACCUGUUUGUCCAAGGGUUCAUACCUAAUACAUAUAGAGAAUACAUAAGUGACAGCUACAGUAGUAAGCAUUCUCAGCACCAUGAGAGCAGACCUACAGCAUGACAGGUAAGUGACAGCUACAGUACUAAGCAUUCUCAACACCAUGAGAGCAGACCUACAGCAUGACAGGUAAGUGACAGCUACAGUACUAAGCAUUCUCAACACCAUGAGAGCAGACCUACAGCAUGACAGGUAAGUGACAGCUACAGUAGUAAGCACUCGCAACACCAUGACAGCAGACCUACAGCAUGACAGGUAAGUGACAGCUACAGUACUAAGCAUUCUCAACACCAUGAGAGCAGAUCUACAGCAUGACAGGUAAGUGACAGAUACAGUACUAAGCAUUCUCAACACCAUGAGAGCAGAUCUA